This 156-nucleotide ribosomal RNA is filed under the name Gypsophila vaccaria (cowherb). RNAcentral's name for it is "5.8S ribosomal RNA". It matches the Rfam family "5.8S ribosomal RNA". Rfam says of the family: 5.8S ribosomal RNA (5.8S rRNA) is a component of the large subunit of the eukaryotic ribosome. It is transcribed by RNA polymerase I as part of the 45S precursor that also contains 18S and 28S rRNA. The record is from RNAcentral. Lineage: Eukaryota; Viridiplantae; Streptophyta; Magnoliopsida; Caryophyllales; Caryophyllaceae.
AACGACUCUCGGCAACGGAUAUCUCGGCUCUCGCAUCGAUGAAGAACGUAGCGAAAUGCGAUACUUGGUGUGAAUUGCAGAAUCCCGUGAACCAUCGAGUCUUUGAACGCAAGUUGCGCCCGAAGCCUCCGGCUGAGGGCACGUCUGCCUGGGCGU